Stegodyphus dumicola is the source of this 621-nucleotide long non-coding RNA. RefSeq lists it as uncharacterized. Lineage: Eukaryota; Metazoa; Arthropoda; Arachnida; Araneae; Eresidae. The record is from RefSeq and is a predicted model, not a curated record.
GCAAUGAAGAUUUUGAGGAAAACUUAUUCUUUUCCCACUUAUGAAAGGGCAUAUAAAUGAAGAACAUCGCACGUUAAAAAGAACAUAUAAAGAAUUACUACUGCAUUCUGUAUUUCAAGAAAUUACUCUUUCCAUCAGCAUUCUUUUCACUUACAACAAUGAACUUUCUGACUUAUGGGAAUAGCUGUACACACAGUUGUUACUAUAAGUCAGAUGACUUAAAAGCAAGGAGGGAUAUGGCGCAAUCAUCUUUUCUUGUCUGCUCGCCAGUGCUUUUGGAGCUUAUAUUGUUCCAUCUUCUUACAUUAGUGGCUACGCUUAUCCAGCCACAUACAGUUACAGUUACCCAGCGGGUGGCUAUGCCUAUGCUGUACCAAGCGUCCCAGCAUAUGUAGGUCUUGCCAGUUCAGAGCCUAUUUACUACCAACCUAGUUACACAUUAGGUUAUACCUAUGUUAAGAAGUAAAAAAAAAAAAAAUUAAAAGGAUCUUCAGUUUUCCCAACCUUGUCAAAAUAUUUUGCGAAAAAAUACAUUGUGAUCCAAAUUCAUCACAGACGAAGACUUAUUUAAAUUUUCAUAAAGGAAACCAUGUAUUUAUGAAAUAAAUGUUUGUUCGUUUA